This 870-nucleotide non-coding RNA is filed under the name Pristimantis prolatus. Its description in RNAcentral is "partial 12S ribosomal RNA". It matches the Rfam family "Bacterial small subunit ribosomal RNA", at positions 399 to 1522 of the family's 1533-position model. The record is from RNAcentral. Lineage: Eukaryota; Metazoa; Chordata; Amphibia; Anura; Strabomantidae.
ACACCCGUGAAAACGCCCUUCCAUCCUUAUAAGGAUAAGGAGCUGAUAUCAGGCACAAUCAAUAGCCCAAAACAUCUAGCUAAGCCACACCCACAAGGGCCCUCAGCAGUGACCAACAUUAAAAAUAAACGUCAGUUUGAUUUAGUCAGUGAAAAUAGAGCAGGCCAAUCUGGUGCCAGCCGCCGCGGUUAUACCACAAGGCUCAAAUUGACCUCCAUCCGGCGUAAAGCGUGAUUAAAGAGAAUUAAAUUAUUAGGGCUAAACUUAAACUAAGCCGUAAAACAUCUGCUCUUAAGAAAACCAUACCUCGAAAGAUGCCCCAAUCCUACCAACUUGAAUUCACGAUAACUAGGACACAAACUGGGAUUAGAUACCCCACUAUGCCUAGUCGUAAACUUUAACUUACCCCACCAUCGCCUGGGAACUACGAGCAAAAGCUUAAAACCCAAAGGACUUGACGGUACCCCACAUCCCCCUAGAGGAGCCUGUCCUAUAAUCGAUACCCCACGUUUAACCUCACCAUUUUUAGCCUUUCAGCCUGUAUACUUCCGUCACCAGCUUACCGCAUGAGCGAUUAAGUAAGCUUAAUGUUUUACCAACAAUACGUCAGGUCAAAGUGCAGCAAAUAAUAUGGAAAGAGAUGGGCUACACUUUUUAAUAUAAAAAAAACGAAAAGCUAAAUGAAAUCAUAGCAAGAAGGUGGAUUUAGUAGUAAGAGGAAAUAGCAUAUUCCUUUUAAUUUGGCACUGGGGUGUGUACACACCGCCCGUCACCCUCUUCAAUAUUACCCCUUCAGUUUAUAACAACUCAUCACCCCUAAGAAGAGGCAAGUCGUAACAUGGUAAGCAUAUCGGAAGAUGUGCUUGGAAA